RNAcentral lists this long non-coding RNA (731 nucleotides) under Fragaria vesca (wild strawberry). Its description in RNAcentral is "long non-coding RNA (FVES_LNC002726)". The record is from RNAcentral. Lineage: Eukaryota; Viridiplantae; Streptophyta; Magnoliopsida; Rosales; Rosaceae.
CGGCCUGACGAACCCCGAAGCGACCGCACCCGACACCCCAACUGGCUCAAUUGAUCGGUUCUUGUGAUCGAGGAUCGACUUUUGGAUCUGUUGUGAUAUAUGUUGUAGGUGGUGUGUGCAUGCAUUGUAAUUUCAAAUUUGUUUUACUCUAUUUGUUUCGAUCGUCGUGUGUUUCUUGUAAGCUGAGGGGUCGUUGUUGCAGGCUUGCAGCCAUAUGAGGCUACGGUAUGUAACUAUUUCUAUCAUAACCGUGUGUUCAUUGCUGUUAUUGCUGUUUCUACGUACGUAAGUGAAUGUUUUGUGGUUUGGAUCAAAAAAGUUUCAACCAAAUCGGUGAUCUUUAACGUUUCGAACUAGCUUAAAUCAAUGGACGGUUUAAAUCUGCCAAUCAUGAACUGUUCAUGAAAAUUGUAAUUUUAAGUACCUUAACGAUCACCAAUUUAGAUAAAAUUUUGCAUAAGUAAUCUACAUAUUAGGACUUAAAAACUGAAUGGUUAAAAUUAAAAAAUGUGAUCGAAAAGUUAAUUUAAUGUUCAAUCCCUCGUAUAAAUCAUAAUAAAGGAUCAUAUAUUCUCCAUGUCAUAUAAACUUCUAAAUCUUCGUAAUCUAGCUAGCUUCAUGUAAAAGUUAACCAAUCAUGUCCUGAUGAGUCCUUUGUUUUCAACAACAUUAUCUUUUACUACUGUAGUUAGCUUGACUCUGGUGCUAGUUUCGUUUAGUUUGUUCUUAUU